Molecule: long non-coding RNA, 572 nt
Organism: Cicer arietinum (chickpea)
Lineage: Eukaryota; Viridiplantae; Streptophyta; Magnoliopsida; Fabales; Fabaceae
Source: RefSeq, a predicted model, not a curated record
CUUAAAACUUUAUCGAUGCAAAACAAUUUAAUAUUUAAUAAUUGAACAAAACAGAGCAUUUUUUUACAUUAUAAAGUGAUCAAACAAUUAACUGAUUCUUACGUGCAAAGGAGAUAAAAAAAAUGGCUGAAAUGUUCAAGUUUUUUAUUGCUAUGAUCCUCCUUUUUUCCAUGCUUCUUGUUGUAAUUGAUGCUGAAGACAUGUGUCUUUAUGACUUUGAAUGUCCAAAUUAUUGGUGUACGCCUCCUCAAGUUGGACGGUGUAGUGUAUACAAAACUUGUUAUUGCGUGUAUUUGAAGAAUGUCACGGUGAAGUAAAGAGAGUCUUCAAUUUUGUGUAACAAGUAGAUCAAUAUGUCAUGAUGAAAUAAAGGCAGAGUAUUUAGUGGAACUGAACACUUUGUGAUCGUUUGGUUAUUUUGUAUUAUUUGAGGUACUUGUUUUAUGUUUACUAUUAUUAAUGGUCCUAUUAGUUAAUAUGAAGUUUAAUUUAACAUAACAUGUAAUAUGUUUGUGGUACUUGUUGUAAUAUGAAGUCUUAACAUGUCUUAUGAUUAGAUAAUGGUUACUUAA